UGAGUACAGUAGAAUUUUGUGAGCAGGAUAGUAGACAGCCCUUUCAUCCUGGUUCAACCUUUUGAAGACAAAGCUCUAAUCAGCUUCCUGUGGGGCAUUUUAUAACCAAGCAAUUAAAUGGCAAGAGGGUCAGGUCUUUGCAAAGGCAAACCAAAUCUCAACAUCCUGAAAAGUUCACUAACUUCUGGAAAAUGAAUCCCUCAAGACUACAGUGCUGAUAACAAUGACCUCUACUCCACAGCUGAGCUGCAAUGAUGACAGGAAAUUUUGGCAGGGCAAGAAAUUAUAUUAUCCUGGUAUCUGCUUUAUUUCUUUGCUUGUGAUAAUCACACUGGAAGUAGGGGCUCCCGCUGAGCUGCCAUAUGGCCCAGUUGUAAAGGCUAGCAAAGCAAGCUAUCUUUUUUUCACAUAUGUACAUUGUCUCAAAUAUUUAUACACUUUCAAUGAUAAACUAAACCAAAUUCAUGGUAUUUUUUCCAUAAAUUGGAAUGGGUAGCUUGGUCUUCUACACUUUUUUUCAGCCUUCUGAAUUUGUUUGAUUCCUAAUUCUAUUGAUUCUUGUACAUUGAUCCCUGGGGCUGACUUUAUUCAUUGUGGCGAUUUAAUACCCAGAGCAAAUCACUUCAGAAUGUGAAAAAA
This is a long non-coding RNA of Rhincodon typus (whale shark), 639 nucleotides long. RefSeq lists it as uncharacterized. The transcript has 3 exons. Lineage: Eukaryota; Metazoa; Chordata; Chondrichthyes; Orectolobiformes; Rhincodontidae. The record is from RefSeq and is a predicted model, not a curated record.